GACGGGCUAGCGAAGGACUGGCCCCCCGCUGCCCCCGGAGGGACUGUUUAAAGAACCCAGCUCGAGACCUACGGGAGGUGGAGGGGUCGGGGCGGCGUCCGUUUGGCUCCCGGUUUGGAACCUCAGGACCCCCUCCCCACCCACCCCCGCCCAUGCGUGAUUCACAACGUUUUUAAACACACGUGCUGAUGGUAACUCCUGGGCUGGAGCAAACUGAGCAGGCUGCCCCAGAAGACGAAUCGUUCAGCGAGGCUCGGCGGAGGCUGACUACCCUGAACUUGGGCGGGGAACCGCGCGGAGGGGCCGGGUCUACCCCCUGCCCUCCCGUCUGGGAAACCCAGAACCCAGGCCUCGAAAGAAGCGGCUUUCUCAGCCUCACGCGGGGAUGGGCUGAGCUGGGAAAUGGAUCCCGGGGGC
Mustela lutreola (European mink) is the source of this 417-nucleotide long non-coding RNA. RefSeq lists it as uncharacterized. NCBI's taxonomy places the organism in Eukaryota, Metazoa, Chordata, Mammalia, Carnivora, Mustelidae. The record is from RefSeq and is a predicted model, not a curated record. The transcript is spliced from 2 exons.